Long non-coding RNA from Paramormyrops kingsleyae, 502 nucleotides. RefSeq lists it as uncharacterized. The record is from RefSeq and is a predicted model, not a curated record. Lineage: Eukaryota; Metazoa; Chordata; Actinopteri; Osteoglossiformes; Mormyridae.
UGUUCUUCUGAGAAGCAGCCCAGUUUCGGCGAAAUUUGACAACGCUGUAGGAGGACGAUCCACCGGAGCUUCCCGGCCGAAAAGAAAAAAAAAUAAGAGGCAGCAGAUACUAUAGGGGAACGACAGACAUUAAACCACCCCGCAGCCUCAAACAGCUGCCUCCCUUCAAAAGCAGGGAACAAGGUCACUGGCGUCCAGGCCCUGCUCCCCAUCCACUUCAAAGGGAAACACUCCACUUUUCCUGUGGCAACCCUGUGAAAAACAGCAGGAAACGGCGGCUAGCAGGCAGGCCGGGACCUUCAAUCAGCCCAGGGUCAAGACGGGAACACCCAAGGAGGAACACAAUAUGGAUGCAGAAACCUUUUUCCAGGUCUCCGAGUGACUGAGAGUUUGUUUAGCAUCAAGCCCUGGACUGAACCCCAAUGGAAUUAAAAACAGACCACUGGUGGGCGUGGUCCUGCUCCUGAUGAUUGCCGUUCAUUGUCACAGUGGCACCCAGGUG